AAAUAAAUAAAAUCUUUAAAAAAAAAAAAAGCAGUUUAAAAAUCUAGUGCUCGCUUCGGCAGCACAUAUACUAAAAUUGGAAUGAUACAGAGAAGAGUAUCAUGGCCCCUGCACAAUGAUGACAUGCAAAUUCAUGAAGCGUUCCAUAUUU
Lutra lutra (Eurasian river otter) is the source of this 151-nucleotide long non-coding RNA. RefSeq lists it as uncharacterized. The transcript is spliced from 3 exons. Lineage: Eukaryota; Metazoa; Chordata; Mammalia; Carnivora; Mustelidae. The record is from RefSeq and is a predicted model, not a curated record.